CCUACGGGCGGCAGCAGUGGGGAAUAUUGGACAAUGGGCGAAAGCCUGAUCCAGCCAUGCCGCGUGUGUGAAGAAGGCCUUCGGGUUGUAAAGCACUUUCAGUGGGGAAGAAAGCCUUGGGGCUAAUACCCUCGAGGAAGGACAUCACCCACAGAAGAAGCACCGGCUAACUCCGUGCCAGCAGCCGCGGUAAUACGGAGGGUGCGAGCGUUAAUCGGAAUUACUGGGCGUAAAGCGCGCGUAGGCGGUCUGAUAAGCCGGUUGUGAAAGCCCCGGGCUCAACCUGGGAACGGCAUCCGGAACUGUCAGGCUAGAGUGCAGGAGAGGAAGGUAGAAUUCCCGGUGUAGCGGUGAAAUGCGUAGAGAUCGGGAGGAAUACCAGUGGCGAAGGCGGCCUUCUGGACUAACACUGACGCUGAGGUGCGAAAGCGUGGGUAGCAAACAGGAUUAGAUACCCCUGUAGUC
This 465-nucleotide ribosomal RNA is filed under the name Vreelandella stevensii. Its description in RNAcentral is "partial 16S ribosomal RNA". It matches the Rfam family "Bacterial small subunit ribosomal RNA", at positions 338 to 795 of the family's 1533-position model. Lineage: Bacteria; Pseudomonadati; Pseudomonadota; Gammaproteobacteria; Oceanospirillales; Halomonadaceae. The record is from RNAcentral.